GCAUUGGUUGUCCAAUGGUAGAACUCUCGCCUUCCGUGCCGGGGACCCAGGUUUGAUUCCCAGCCAAUGCA
Molecule: transfer RNA, 71 nt
Filed under: Loxodonta africana (African savanna elephant)
Lineage: Eukaryota; Metazoa; Chordata; Mammalia; Proboscidea; Elephantidae
Rfam family: tRNA
About the family: Transfer RNA (tRNA) molecules are approximately 80 nucleotides in length. Their secondary structure includes four short double-helical elements and three loops (D, anti-codon, and T loops). Further hydrogen bonds mediate the characteristic L-shaped molecular structure. tRNAs have two regions of fundamental functional importance: the anti-codon, which is responsible for specific mRNA codon recognition, and the 3' end, to which the tRNAs corresponding amino acid is attached (by aminoacyl-tRNA synthetases). tRNAs cope with the degeneracy of the genetic code in two manners: having more than one tRNA (with a specific anti-codon) for a particular amino acid; and 'wobble' base-pairing, i.e. permitting non-standard base-pairing at the 3rd anti-codon position.
Source: Rfam by way of RNAcentral